Neofelis nebulosa (Clouded leopard) is the source of this 622-nucleotide long non-coding RNA. RefSeq lists it as uncharacterized. The record is from RefSeq and is a predicted model, not a curated record. The transcript has 2 exons. Lineage: Eukaryota; Metazoa; Chordata; Mammalia; Carnivora; Felidae.
CUACCACCAUCCUCUUGGCCCGUGAAGCCGACCUGCCUCUCUGCACUGGACACAUGCUUGAGCUCUCGCCACACACUUGUUCAUGGGCGCUGCAAGAGGAGGGACCCACAGAGCUGGAGCCGGGAGGGCUGGCACAUUGGACUGAGGGCUGGCAGAACUCUUAGGGGGAUCUUGCCAUCCCACAACCCCAUGUCUGGCUCCAGGAGAAUUCCGUUAGUGAAGUGAUUGCACUUAAAACCCAAAAUUAACUCGAACUGAAUGUUACUGAAAAUGAAAUAGAUUAAAGUGCCCCGCUCCUGCUUCAUCCGCAGUCAUUAUGAAGGAGAUCCACCGUCUGACCUAGCUUUGGGAGAGCGGGUCUGUAUCCACAUGCCCCCUGGUCACAGAGGUCUCCGUGAUCAUCCUCAUGCCCAGAUGCCACUCUCGAUCCCCUUCACAAGCUUCUCUUUUUAUAAGAGCACUCACCUCCAGAGCAGUGAUACAGUUACGUGUUGGUCACUGUCUUGUCUCCUACGAGAAUGGAAGCUCCACGAGGGCAGGACCUCCAUCCUGUUCAUCCUCAUGUUUCCAGGGCCUGGCACCGUGUACAGUCUAAAUAAAUGCUGCUGAGUGAAUGAAUGGA